GCCUUCGUGGUGUAAUGGUCAGCACACUGAGCCGGUAUUUCAGAGGUCCGCGGUUCGAUUCCCGGGGAAGGCG
Non-coding RNA from Stegodyphus mimosarum, 73 nucleotides. Lineage: Eukaryota; Metazoa; Arthropoda; Arachnida; Araneae; Eresidae. The record is from Rfam.